AGCUUUGCACAGUGGCAGUAUCAUAACCAAUGAAGUAAUCUGAGGUGUGAUUAUUACUACUUGAAAUCUGCUCCUUUCCUUGGUGGUAGAUGGUACAGUACUACUGGAAACAGUAGAAACUG
RNAcentral lists this small nuclear RNA (122 nucleotides) under Chelonoidis abingdonii (Abingdon island giant tortoise). Its description in RNAcentral is "U4 spliceosomal RNA (ENSCABG00000006990.1)". It matches the Rfam family "U4 spliceosomal RNA". From Rfam's summary of the family: U4 small nuclear RNA (U4 snRNA) is a component of the major U2-dependent spliceosome. Lineage: Eukaryota; Metazoa; Chordata; Testudines; Testudinidae. The record is from Rfam by way of RNAcentral.